This 465-nucleotide ribosomal RNA is filed under the name uncultured bacterium. Its description in RNAcentral is "partial 16S ribosomal RNA". It matches the Rfam family "Bacterial small subunit ribosomal RNA", at positions 28 to 507 of the family's 1533-position model. The record is from RNAcentral.
GAUGAACGCUGGCGGCGUGCUUAACACAUGCAAGUCGAACGGAAAGGCUCCUGCUUGCAGGGGUACUCGAGUGGCGAACGGGUGAGUAACACGUGGGUGAUCUGCCCUGCACUUCGGGAUAAGCCUGGGAAACUGGGUCUAAUACCGGAUAGGACCACAUUUUGGAUGGUGUGGUGGAAAGUUUUUCGGUGUGGGAUGAGCUCGCGGCCUAUCAGCUUGUUGGUGGGGUAAUGGCCUACCAAGGCGUCGACGGGUAGCCGGCCUGAGAGGGUGUACGGCCACAUUGGGACUGAGAUACGGCCCAGACUCCUACGGGAGGCAGCAGCGGGGAAUAUUGCACAAUGGGCGCAAGCCUGAUGCAGCGACGCCGCGUGGGGGAUGACGGCCUUCGGGUUGUAAACUCCUUUCGCUAGGGACGAAGCGCAAGUGACGGUACCUGGAGAAGAAGCACCGGCUAACUACGUG